UUAAGUGAUGAUAGCCUAGGAGAUACACCUGUUCCCAUGCCGAACACAGCAGUUAAGCCCUAGAACGCCUGAAGUAGUUGGGGGUUGCCCCCUGUUAGAUACGGUAGUCGCUUAGC
RNAcentral lists this ribosomal RNA (116 nucleotides) under Streptococcus gallolyticus. The record is from RNAcentral. Lineage: Bacteria; Bacillati; Bacillota; Bacilli; Lactobacillales; Streptococcaceae.